GGAGUGGUGUCCGAGUUGGCUGAAGGAGCUCGCCUCGAAAGCGAGUAGGGUGCCAAAAGCGCCCUCGUGGGUUCGAAUCCCACCCACUCCGCCA
RNAcentral lists this transfer RNA (94 nucleotides) under Armatimonadia bacterium. RNAcentral's name for it is "tRNA-Ser". It matches the Rfam family "tRNA". Rfam says of the family: Transfer RNA (tRNA) molecules are approximately 80 nucleotides in length. The record is from RNAcentral. Lineage: Bacteria; Bacillati; Armatimonadota; Armatimonadia.